This 367-nucleotide long non-coding RNA is filed under the name Pelobates cultripes (western spadefoot toad). Lineage: Eukaryota; Metazoa; Chordata; Amphibia; Anura; Pelobatidae. The record is from RNAcentral.
CGCUGUUCUCCACACUAGAGUAAAGUACACAGGCGGGCGACGUAGAUUGGUCAGACUGUUACCAGUAAAUCCCCGCCCUGUUUCCUGGUGUAAGUUUUGUUACUUUUUAUUUUAUUUAUUUUCCUUUCGGCUUUAUUCGCAGCUCGGUUUGCUGACGCGCUGCUGCUCUGCGAGACACUCGGGCAAGUCGCGUUAAUCGAGGAGACACCGCAGGCAGAGUCCGGACUCCCGCGCUUUGUUUUGGACGAUACGUCACGCGUUCGACCGACCAAUCGCCGGAGCCCGUGCUGAGUGAGCGCACAGUCUGCGGGAGGAAGAAAGAUGGCGGACGUGGUGGAGAUCCACAAGCUGAAGGUACUUAUAGCUA